Molecule: ribosomal RNA, 253 nt
Filed under: uncultured bacterium
Lineage: Bacteria
Description: partial 16S ribosomal RNA
Rfam family: Bacterial small subunit ribosomal RNA
Source: RNAcentral
UACGGAGGGUGCAAGCGUUAUCCGGAUUCACUGGGUUUAAAGGGUGCGUAGGCGGGCAGGUAAGUCCGUGGUGAAAUCUCUGAGCUUAACUCAGAAACUGCCAUGGAUACUAUUUGUCUUGAAUGUUGUGGAGGUAAGCGGAAUAUGUCAUGUAGCGGUGAAAUGCUUAGAUAUGACAUAGAACACCAAUUGCGAUGGCAGCUUACUACACAAAUAUUGACGCUGAGGCACGAAAGCGUGGGGAUCAAACAGG